UACAGAGGUCUCAAGCGUUGUUCGGAUUCAUUGGGCGUAAAGGGCGCGUAGGCGGCGGGGUAAGUCGGGUGUGAAAUCUCAGAGCUCAACUCUGAAACUGCACUCGAUACUGCUCUGCUUGAGGACUGGAGAGGAGACUGGAAUUCACGGUGUAGCAGUGAAAUGACGUAGAUAUCGUGAGGAAGACCAGUGGCGAAGGCGGCUCUCUGGACAGAUACUGACGCUGAGGCG
Molecule: ribosomal RNA, 231 nt
Filed under: uncultured bacterium
Lineage: Bacteria
Description: partial 16S ribosomal RNA
Rfam family: Bacterial small subunit ribosomal RNA
Source: RNAcentral